UGCCAGCCGCCGCGGUAAUACGAGGGGUGCUAGCGUUGUCCGGAAUAACUGGGCGUAAAGGGUCCGUAGGCGUUUUAUUAAGUUGAUUGUUAAAUCCACCGGCUUAACCGGUGAUCUGCAAUCAAAACUGAUAAAAUAGAAUAUGUGAGAGGAAUGUGGAAUUCCUGGUGUAGCGGUGACAUGCGUAGAUAUCAGGAGGAACACCAAUGGCGAAGGCGCUCUGCUGGGCCGCUAUCGACGCUGAGGAGCGAAAGCUAGGGGAGCAAACAGGAUUAGAUA
RNAcentral lists this ribosomal RNA (279 nucleotides) under uncultured bacterium. Its description in RNAcentral is "partial 16S ribosomal RNA". It matches the Rfam family "Bacterial small subunit ribosomal RNA", at positions 506 to 784 of the family's 1533-position model. The record is from RNAcentral.